Molecule: long non-coding RNA, 1197 nt
Filed under: Olea europaea (common olive)
Lineage: Eukaryota; Viridiplantae; Streptophyta; Magnoliopsida; Lamiales; Oleaceae
Description: long non-coding RNA (OEUR_LNC000503)
Source: RNAcentral
AGAAACCCAUUUGGUUUAGCCAUAGUUUUCUAAUUUUUGAUGGAACUCUAGUUUCUAUGUAGCUUUUGUGAGUGAUGGAGAAAGGAUUAUUACAGAAGGCAAAUUAUCAAAUUACCCAGGCUAGAAUUUCCCUGCAAAAUUUUCAGAAUGUAAAAGCGAGAAAAAGAGCAUGAGGCGAAUUCAAAAUAUUUCAAGCACAAGGUCCUACAUAAUUUAAUACAGGCAUAACUUGUAACAGAUUUUUUGUGCAAAUGAUAAUCGGAAGCACCUAUGAAAAAAUUUGAUGCAAAGAAUUCCUCAUUUGCGGAAGUAUUGCCUAGAGAACACCAACGGUCUACCCAGCAAUAUAUGUUUUUUAUUUUCUCGCAUCAACAUAGUCUGUUCUUAAAGCACCAAAAGAGGCAAUCUCCUAUAACUACGUAUAUUUUCUAAUAUCUUACAUUUACAAUCUUAUAACUAUUCUAUGAAACUGAACCAAAAAGCACAUCAAGUUUAUCCAUACAAGAAUCAAAUUUCACAUGGGACUUCAUACAGCAACUUUUCCAAUUUGCCGGUAUUUACUCCGAUCAAAAAAGCUUCUGUCAUUCAAUUUAUCAAACAUAUCAAUCGCACUUGACCUACUUUGUUUCCUAGAUCGGAAUUUAUAAUUGUCUUUCAGACUUCCAUAAUCAUAGGCACAGUUUGAAAUCACUACAUAAACACUUUAGCCUUCAGUGAAUUCAAUGUAAACACCCUACCGAAUCAUAUUGUCAGCACUACCCAGUAUUAAAAACAGACAUGAAAAAGUAUGAUGUCUCUCGAUGAAAUUCAAAACAGAAGCUAAAGAUUUUCAUUUACAACUAAUUUUUUUCAUCUUUACCAUUAAAGCAAGAAAAAAUUAAAAGGAACUUUUUAGAGGAAUUGACUUCAUAUUUUUCAAAUUGUUCUACCAUGAUCACCGAUUCACCUAAAUUUUGCUAAAUAGUACAUCUUUCAAACUAAUUCUGACAAUCUACCAGCGAAAAUUGACGAUGUUAAUCUAAAUACAAUCUCAUUAAGUUUCAAAUAACAGAAAAAACUGUUAUAAACAAAACCCACAAAUAUUUGAAGAACGGUUGAGGAAAUUGGAAAACCCACCUAUGAAAUCAAAGUAUAGACAAUGAGAAAGUGAGCAGUUGAGGAAAUGCAUAGCGUUUUACUGAGAGAGGAGGAGGGAUA